Molecule: long non-coding RNA, 1130 nt
Filed under: Canis lupus familiaris (dog)
Lineage: Eukaryota; Metazoa; Chordata; Mammalia; Carnivora; Canidae
Description: lncRNA (ENSCAFG00000058355.1)
Source: RNAcentral
AAAUAUUCUAUUUAUUUAUUCAUGAGAGAUACAGAGAGAGACAGGCAGAGAUACAGGCAGAGGGGAAAGGGAGCCUGAUGUGGGCCUUGAUCUCGGACCCCAGGAAAUCACACUCGGAGCCAAAGGCAGACGCUCAACCGCUGAGCCACCUAGGCAUCCCUCACCAUCCCAUUUUGUACUUUCUUUUUCAUGCCUGUUUUUUUUUUUUCCCUUCUUUUGGAUUGCUGUCAUGUGUACAUGCAAAGUGAAGCACAGGAAAUGUAUGCAUAUUAAGUAUAAACUGGAAACUAAUUUUUAAUUCCUGCUGCCAAUCCAGUAAAAGAGGUGAAGACGAGAAUUGAGGUUCCCAAACUUGGACUUUGCAGAUGAAUAAGAUUUCCCUUACAAUGUCAGUGACUAAUAUAGAGUUGCCAACUUUUUAUUUUGCCAAGUCAGGAAAUUUAUGGAACAACCACAGCCCCAACUCUCGCCUAUCCUCACCAUAAUUUUAUAAAGAACAUUAAAAAACAAACUUUUAAAGUGUAAAAGAAAGGUGCUCUCCAGGUAGAGAUCAUUGGGCAAGCUUGUGAGAUACACACACACACAUAAUCUGUGCGCACACACCUCUAUCUACCGUGUGUCCUCUCAGUUCACCCAACAUCACUGGAAACUUUGACCUGCCCCUAAACUGGAACCCACGGGGUGGAGCGCGGUGGUGUAGAAGGAAGAGGAGGUUCUGGGUGGAGGCUGAGGAGGGUGCCACGCCCGGCCACACACUGUGGGUGCCUCGCCGCAGAGGGCCGUGGUGCAGGGGAUGGGUGUGCCUGCGGCGGAGGCGGGGGGCUCGGGGGCCGCAGUGAGCCCAGAGGAGCUUCCCCCCAGGCAGGAGAGGAGGCCGGCCGGGCCCUGAGCCCCUGACCGGGAUCCCUGGGCUGCCGGCUCUGGAUGCGAGGUCUCCGCGCCCAGAGGAUCCGGAUACUGCAGUGUGAACGUCUCUAAGUCUCGGGCGUUUAUAGACUCUGCGUCCUGGCCGCGGGCCUAAUACACGUUCCCAACAGCUGGGCUUGGAGAUUAGUCUUGGUCCGUGAGGUUCCAUUGCUUCAGCUGACCCCUGAUCGUCUAGAUCAGAAAAAAAAAAAAAAAAAAAAAAA